RNAcentral lists this long non-coding RNA (865 nucleotides) under Spirodela polyrhiza (greater duckweed). RNAcentral describes it as "long non-coding RNA (SPOL_LNC001637)". Lineage: Eukaryota; Viridiplantae; Streptophyta; Magnoliopsida; Alismatales; Araceae. The record is from RNAcentral.
UGGACAAGCAAAAAGCCAGACGAUGCCGACGCAAGCUGAUAGUGCCGUUGAAAGUCUCCAUUGUUGAAAGGUCAAGCCAUCAGGGGGGGUACUCUGCUCCACUUCACCCAACGCCAUAGACGACCCGGUGGUGAGUCGAGACCCUGCCGACUCUGCCGACUCGCGACGCCAGCGCGGCGUGGAGGAAUAUGAGGGCCGAAGAAAAUAAUAUUUUUCAAAGCGCAACACGCCGCUGCACGCGGGGGUCGGUCUCUCCGCGUCCGUAACGCGUCCCUCACAAGUUUGACGGCUUCGCACGGCCUGACAACUCAUUUUCUGGUGUCCUGAUGAAGUGGACCCGGGCUCUACAAUCCCAGCACUACGUCAGAAGUCCUACACAAGGGCCCCAGCAGAUAUACACAUAUCAGCUGGCAUACACAAAUGGGCCCCAGAAGAUAAACACACAAGGGCCCCGAAAGUCCUACCCACAUCGUCUUUCCCUCUAUAUUCGCCUAACGAUAUACAUAGGGAGGGAGGGAGGGAGGGAGGGAAGAGGGGAAAGAGAGAGAGAGAGAGAGAGAGAGUCGAGCAUGGGAAGUGCCAGGCAGCCAUGCGGGCCAUCCAGAGGCACCACUGGGCUCAACUCUUUACGCAACUGAUUAGUCAUACUUUUCACAAAGUUAUCAGAACAAAUCCUAGUUUGGGGGAACCAGCGCCCAGUUGACAACGCUCAAUUACGUGCACCAUAAAUGAAGUUAACCUAUGAAUAAACAAAGUAGAGGCAGAUGGCGGACUUUAUCCAUAUAAUACUUUUUUAGUCAAUAUUUGCUGUACUACCGAAAAGAGUUGUAUGGUUCCUCCCUUCUAGAUGGAGACUAAAUGAGAC